UGUCACAUAGAUUAUGUUCUGGGACCU
This 27-nucleotide non-coding RNA is filed under the name Mus musculus (house mouse). The record is from RNAcentral. Lineage: Eukaryota; Metazoa; Chordata; Mammalia; Rodentia; Muridae.